CUCCUUAACACGUAGUCAACCUGCCCUGGAGACAUGGACAACCCCGGGAAACUGGGAUUAAUCCGUGAUAGGUCAUCUCAUCUGGAAGGAGAGAUGGCUUAAAGGGGCGCGCGGGCUUCUUCUGCGCGUUCGCUCCAGGAUGGGACUGCGUCCGAUCAGGCUGUUGGCGGGGUAAUGGCCCACCAAACCUGUAACCGGUACGGGCCUUGAGAGAGGUGGCCCGGAGAUGGACACUGAGAGAAGGGUCCAGGUCCUACGGGGCGCAGCAGGCGCGAAACCUUCGCAAUGCGCGAAAGCGUGACGAGGUUAAUCCGAGUGGCCCCCGCUGAGGGGGUCUUUUGUCAGCUGUAAAUAGGCGGGCGAAUAAGGGGAGGGCAAGCCUGGUGUCAGCCGCCGCGGUAAUACCAGCUCCUCGAGUGGUCGGGGCGAUUAUUGGGCCUAAAGCAUCCGUAGCCGGUUCCGUAGGUCCUCUGUUAAAUCCACCCGCUUAACGGGUGACCUGCAGAGGAUACCGCGGGACUAGGAGGCGGGAGAGGCGGACGGUACUCCGCGUGUAGGGGUAAAAUCCUUUGAUCCGCGGAAGA
RNAcentral lists this ribosomal RNA (584 nucleotides) under uncultured archaeon. RNAcentral's name for it is "bacterial SSU rRNA". It matches the Rfam family "Archaeal small subunit ribosomal RNA", at positions 89 to 656 of the family's 1478-position model. The record is from RNAcentral.